This is a long non-coding RNA of Triticum dicoccoides, 1123 nucleotides long. RefSeq lists it as uncharacterized. The transcript has 3 exons. The record is from RefSeq and is a predicted model, not a curated record. NCBI's taxonomy places the organism in Eukaryota, Viridiplantae, Streptophyta, Magnoliopsida, Poales, Poaceae.
UCCACAGUGUGUAGAGGCAACCCAGCCUCUAAGGUGGGCCCCAUACACCUGCCUCUAAGCCAAUGCAUCCUUCCCGCAAUGUGAGCCUCUAAGCCCAUGGGCCCACCAGCUGCCUCUAACCACCGAACACUCUUCCCUUCGCGCAAAAAAAUCCCCAAUCGAUUCCAAUCCCUAGCGGCUGCAGGAACCACGCCAUCGUCUCGACCGUCUCCGGCGACCAGGCGAACCAAAUACCUCGCGCGAGGCCGGACGACGGAGGCGGUUGAUCUAGCAGCUGGAUGUGGACUGCUGGUGGUGGCGGGGGGUGCAGCAAAUGCGCCGGCAAGUGCGUCGAGGCGCAGCCGCCGGUCUAUUCCUGCUGACCAACUGCGCCGGCGAUGCCGAGGAAGCGCUACGCUGAUAGCGGCGGCAGCGGCGUUGUGCGAGUACUAGGCGCAGGUCUGGAGCAUGGGCGGGUUCACGCGGAAGCACAAGGUUGCUUGAAGAAGAGUCGGCCUUUGCUGGUGCCUUUCCUUUGCGUUUUGCGCCCUUCUGUCCCGGAGGACGACGUUCCAAUUGUCUGUCCACUGAUUCUUCAGCAUCUUUACUAGAAGAAGAAAUGAGGCUGAGGCGAAUAAUGAAAAUAUCCGGCAUCUUGGUUGAUCCUAGCAUGUGGAUCAAUCCCGGUGAAGCCGGCGGCUGCAGAAGAUGAAUGACCAUAUGAACCUCCUCCAUACACUCCAUGUGCUGCUUGGAAACCUGAGGUAUGUGGAGGUGGAAAUGAAUACAUGUUUUGUGCAUACAUGGGAUGCAAAUAUUGCCCAUGCUGAGAGGAUGAAGCACUUGUGAACUGGUGAGGUGGGGUGGCAGAUGGGGUAUAGUUUCGAUUUUCUGGAUCUUGGCUUGAGCAAUUAUUGAGCAUCCUAGUGAAACUUCCUGGAGAGUGCUCCAUGAAUGUGAAGUUUUUUGAGGUGUCUAGGCUCCCAGUUGGUUUGGGUGUGUGUAAACUUAUUGUUCAAAGCCCUAGUAUAUAUACUGAUAGAUGUGUGUAUGCACACACUUGUUGUAACGGCCAUAAUUUGUUGUUUAUUAUUAUUUUUAAAUGCAACGGUUGUAUUGGAUUGGAUGUGUAUGCUCAGAACAA